CUCAAAUUUGAAAUCUGGUCCCCCCGCGGGGCCCGAGUUGUAAUUUGAAGAGGAUGCUUCUGGCAAGGUGCCGUCCGAGUUCCCUGGAACGGGACGCCGCAGAGGGUGAGAGCCCCGUACGGUCGGACGCCGAGCCUCUGUGAAGCUCCUUCGACGAGUCGAGUAGUUUGGGAAUGCUGCUCAAAAUGGGAGGUAAACCCCUUCUAAAGCUAAAUACCGGCCAGAGACCGAUAGCGCACAAGUAGAGUGAUCGAAAGAUGAAAAGCACUUUGAAAAGAGAGUUAAAAAGCACGUGAAAUUGUUGAAAGGGAAGCGCUUGCGACCAGACUCGCGCCCGUCGGAUCAGCCGUCGCUCGUCGGCGGCGCACUCCGGCGGGCUCGGGCCAGCAUCAGUUCGCCUCGGGGGGAGAAAGGCGGCGGGAAUGUGGCUCCACGGAGUGUUAUAGCCCACCGCGUAAUACCCCCGGGCGGACUGAGGACCGCGCGUAUGCAAGGAUGCUGGCGUAAUGGUCGUCAGCGACCCGUCUUGAAACACGGACCAAGGAGUCGUCCUAAUAUGCGAGUGUACGGGUGUCAAACCCCUGCGCGUAAUGAAAGUGAACGGAGGUGAGAGCUUCGGCGCAUCAUCGACCGAUCCUGAUGUUCUCGGAUGGAUUUGAGUAAGAGCAUAUUGGGCCGGACCCGAAAGAAGGUGAACUAUGCCUGUGUAGGGUAAAGCCAGAGGAAACUCUGGUGGAGGCUCGCAGCGGUUCUGACGUGCAAAUCGAUCGUCAAACAUGGGCAUGGGGGCGAAAGACUAAUCGAACCUUCUAGUAGCUGGUUUCCGCCGAAGUUUCCCUCAGGAUAGCAGUGUUGAAUCUCUCAGUUUUAUGAGGUAAAGCGAAUGAUUAGGGACUCGGGGGCGCUUAUUAGCCUUCAUCCAUUCUCAAACUUUAAAUAUGUAAGAAGCCCUUGUUACUUA
Molecule: ribosomal RNA, 961 nt
Filed under: Microascus cirrosus
Lineage: Eukaryota; Fungi; Ascomycota; Sordariomycetes; Microascales; Microascaceae
Description: eukaryotic LSU rRNA
Rfam family: Eukaryotic large subunit ribosomal RNA
Source: RNAcentral